This 71-nucleotide transfer RNA is filed under the name Alishewanella agri BL06. It matches the Rfam family "tRNA". Rfam says of the family: Transfer RNA (tRNA) molecules are approximately 80 nucleotides in length. Lineage: Bacteria; Pseudomonadati; Pseudomonadota; Gammaproteobacteria; Alteromonadales; Alteromonadaceae. The record is from Rfam by way of RNAcentral.
GCGGGUGUAGUUCAGUGGUAGAAUGCCAGCUUCCCAAGCUCGAGAUACGGGUUCGAUUCCCGUCACCCGCU